RNAcentral lists this ribosomal RNA (253 nucleotides) under uncultured bacterium. RNAcentral's name for it is "partial 16S ribosomal RNA". It matches the Rfam family "Bacterial small subunit ribosomal RNA", at positions 524 to 776 of the family's 1533-position model. The record is from RNAcentral.
UACGAAGGGGCCUAGCGUUGUUCGGAAUUACUGGGCGUAAAGCGCACGUAGGCGGAUUUGUAAGUCAGGGGUGAAAUCCCGGGGCUCAACCUCGGAACUGCCUUUGAUACUGCAAAUCUCGAGUCCGAUAGAGGUGGGUGGAAUUCCUAGUGUAGAGGUGAAAUUCGUAGAUAUUAGGAAGAACACCGGUGGCGAAGGCGGCCCACUGGAUCGGUACUGACGCUGAGGUGCGAAAGCGUGGGGAGCAAACAGG